This 462-nucleotide ribosomal RNA is filed under the name Triticum aestivum (bread wheat). RNAcentral describes it as "partial small subunit ribosomal RNA". The record is from RNAcentral. Lineage: Eukaryota; Viridiplantae; Streptophyta; Magnoliopsida; Poales; Poaceae.
AUGGCCGCGGCGGGCAAGGCCAAGGAGGCGGACGCGGCGCGGUGCAGGAGGCACCCGAGCCACCGGCACGCGGCCGGCGUCUGCCCCUUCUGCCUCAGCGACCGCCUCUCGCGCCUCUCCGCCGCCGCAGGGGCCGCCGACGCCGCCUCCGAGCCGUCGUCGGCGUCCUCGUCCGGGGCGGCGAGCGUCGCGUCGGCCCAGACGGCGCCGCCCUGCCGCGAGGCGCGCCGGGCGAGGCUGGGGAUGCUGAUGCGUCAGGAGGAGCCGGAGGCGACCGGCCAUCACGGCAAGCAGGAGGCGGCGGCGGCGGAGGAGGGGGAGAAGAAGAAGCCGGCGAAGAGGGGCAACUUCUGGACUCGGCUGCAGCAGGCGAGCUGGUACAGGAGGGACGGCUGCUCGGUGGCGUCCGUGAAGAAGGGCGCCGCCGCGCCGCCGCACAAGCGGGCGGCGUCGCUGUUCUGA